Molecule: ribosomal RNA, 254 nt
Filed under: uncultured bacterium
Lineage: Bacteria
Description: partial 16S ribosomal RNA
Rfam family: Bacterial small subunit ribosomal RNA
Source: RNAcentral
UACGAAGGGGGCUAGCGUUGCUCGGAAUCACUGGGCGUAAAGGGUGCGUAGGCGGGCCUUUAAGUCAGGGGUGAAAUCCUGGAGCUCAACUCCAGAACUGCCUUUGAUACUGAAGAUCUUGAGUUCGGGAGAGGUGAGUGGAACUGCGAGUGUAGAGGUGAAAUUCGUAGAUAUUCGCAAGAACACCAGUGGCGAAGGCGGCUCACUGGCCCGAUACUGACGCUGAGGCACGAAAGCGUGGGGAGCAAACAGGG